UACGAAGGGUGCAAACGUUGCUCGGAAUUAUUGGGCGUAAAGGGCUCGUAGGCGGUUUGUCGCGUCGGGAGUGAAAACCUCGGGCUUAACUCGGGGCUUGCUUUCGAUACGGGCAGACUGGAGGUAUGCAGGGGAGAACGGAAUUCCUGGUGUAGCGGUGAAAUGCGCAGAUAUCAGGAGGAACACCGGUGGCGAAGGCGGUUCUCUGGGCAUGACCUGACGCUGAGGAGCGAAAGUGUGGGGAGCGAACAGG
RNAcentral lists this ribosomal RNA (253 nucleotides) under uncultured bacterium. RNAcentral's name for it is "partial 16S ribosomal RNA". It matches the Rfam family "Bacterial small subunit ribosomal RNA", at positions 524 to 776 of the family's 1533-position model. The record is from RNAcentral.